GCGGUAGCUCAGUCGGUAGAGCAGGGGAUUGAAAACCCCCGUGUCGGCGGUUCGAUUCCGUCUCUGGGCACCA
This 73-nucleotide transfer RNA is filed under the name Pseudomonas sp. FFUP_PS_473. Its description in RNAcentral is "tRNA-Phe". It matches the Rfam family "tRNA". From Rfam's summary of the family: Transfer RNA (tRNA) molecules are approximately 80 nucleotides in length. Lineage: Bacteria; Pseudomonadati; Pseudomonadota; Gammaproteobacteria; Pseudomonadales; Pseudomonadaceae. The record is from RNAcentral.